This 222-nucleotide ribosomal RNA is filed under the name uncultured bacterium. RNAcentral describes it as "partial 16S ribosomal RNA". It matches the Rfam family "Bacterial small subunit ribosomal RNA", at positions 524 to 743 of the family's 1533-position model. The record is from RNAcentral.
UACGAAGGGGGCUAGCGUUGUUCGGAAUUACUGGGCGUAAAGGGCGCGUAGGCGGCCCUCCAAGUCAGAUGUGAAAGCCCCGGGCUUAACCUGGGAAUUGCAUUUGAGACUGAAGGGCUUGAGUUUCGGAGAGGUGGGUGGAAUUCCCAGUGUAGAGGUGAAAUUCGGUAGAUAUUGGGAAGAACACCGGUGGCGAAGGCGGCCCACUGGACGGAACACUGA